Molecule: non-coding RNA, 991 nt
Organism: Salvelinus sp. IW2-2015
Lineage: Eukaryota; Metazoa; Chordata; Actinopteri; Salmoniformes; Salmonidae
Source: RefSeq, a predicted model, not a curated record
CUUCCAUCUUUGUAUUAGAGUGAUAAGUCAGUGAUAAAGGGAUUUACAGUGAUAUUGUUUAUUCUCCAGGUCUUCAGGUGAAGGUGACUGGUGGACAUCAGGAUAAGACACUGACCUGUAUCACCAGCUGUACUCUGACUGACAACCCCACCUACAUCUGGUACAAGAAUGGACAACAUCUAGAUGAGAGCACCUCCCCCCAGUACAAAGACUCAGUCUCCAGUAACUAUGAAGACAGUUACUCCUGUGCUGUAAAAGGCCAUGAGGAUCUCCACUCUCCUGCAGUGUGUGUUCAGGGUCAGAGCUGCAACAGAGUGACUUACACCAAGAGGAGAAUCUGUGUCUUGAAGGGGUCAACAGUGGACAUAUCCUGUACUUAUUUUGGUUAUUAUUACACCACAUCAACAUUCUGGUUUAGAAGUGAUAAGUCGACCCCUGAUGACCUAACCACAGACCCAGGGUAUGCAGGUCGUGUGAAGUACACUGGAACAUACGAAGGUCCCUUCACCCUGAGAAUCACAGAUCUGAGAGAGGAGGACUCAGAUGAGUAUCGCUUCACGUUUAAAAUUCACAACUUUGAAUGGGGUCAUAGUUUCCCAGGAACAAUUCUGACUGUCACAGGUAAUACUACACUGUAUGAUACAACUGUAAAUCAUAAUGAAUUACAGGAUAAAUAAAUUAACCAUCCUGUUAACACAGAGGUGUAUGUGGUUUUAUACAUAUUGUUUCAGGUCUGCAGGUGAAGGUGACUCCUGCUGCAGAGGGACAGAAGACACUGACCUGUAGCACCACAUGUACUCUGACUGACAACUCCACCUAUAUCUGGUACAAGAACGGACAACGUCUUGAUGAGCCCACUUCCCAACAAUACUCUAGUAAUACCCUAGUAGUGUUGGGUCAUUCUGUGGACAGUUACUCCUGUGCUGUAGAACACCAUGAGGCCCUCCACUCUCCUGCAGUGUAUGCUCCAAAGAACACCUCAGUGUCAGUC